GAUGAACGCUGGCGGCGUGCCUAAUACAUGCAAGUCGAGCGAACAGACGAGGAGCUUGCUCCUCUGACGUUAGCGGCGGACGGGUGAGUAACACGUGGAUAACCUACCUAUAAGACUGGGAUAACUUCGGGAAACCGGAGCUAAUACCGGAUAAUAUAUUGAACCGCAUGGUUCAAUAGUGAAAGACGGUUUUGCUGUCACUUAUAGAUGGAUCCGCGCCGCAUUAGCUAGUUGGUAAGGUAACGGCUUACCAAGGCAACGAUGCGUAGCCGACCUGAGAGGGUGAUCGGCCACACUGGAACUGAGACACGGUCCAGACUCCUACGGGAGGCAGCAGUAGGGAAUCUUCCGCAAUGGGCGAAAGCCUGACGGAGCAACGCCGCGUGAGUGAUGAAGGACUUCGGAUCGUAAAACUCUGUUAUUAGGGAAGAACAAAUGUGUAAGUAACUAUGCACGUCUUGACGGUACCUAAUCAGAAAGCCACGGCUAACUACGUG
RNAcentral lists this ribosomal RNA (497 nucleotides) under uncultured bacterium. Its description in RNAcentral is "partial 16S ribosomal RNA". It matches the Rfam family "Bacterial small subunit ribosomal RNA", at positions 28 to 507 of the family's 1533-position model. The record is from RNAcentral.